RNAcentral lists this non-coding RNA (109 nucleotides) under Lysobacter gummosus. Its description in RNAcentral is "Glycine sequence". It matches the Rfam family "Glycine riboswitch aptamer". From Rfam's summary of the family: This family represents the bacterial glycine riboswitch. Glycine riboswitches usually consist of two metabolite-binding aptamers domains with similar structures in tandem. Lineage: Bacteria; Pseudomonadati; Pseudomonadota; Gammaproteobacteria; Lysobacterales; Lysobacteraceae. The record is from RNAcentral.
CAUCGCCGAUCUGGAGAGAGGCCGCCACGCGGCCCACCGAAGGGGCAAGCGGCUGCCGGCGCAUCCCGCCGGGCCGCGCAAACUCUCAGGUAAAAGGACAGCGGGAGCG